CAGGAGUGGAAGUACAGUGAUGUAUGGAGCGGACUGAUACUAAUCGAUCGAGGACUUAACCACA
RNAcentral lists this ribosomal RNA (64 nucleotides) under Enterococcus hirae. Its description in RNAcentral is "partial 23S ribosomal RNA". The record is from RNAcentral. Lineage: Bacteria; Bacillati; Bacillota; Bacilli; Lactobacillales; Enterococcaceae.